UUCUCUACAGCCCCGACCCACUCUUAGUCUUGGUUAUCGCAUAGAGACUGUGUCUGCUUCUCGACCACCUAAACUAUAAAAGUCACACACAAAUCAAAGAGGAGUGACUUACCAGAAUUUAAUAAACUUCAAAACAGUUCCUCUUACAGAACAAAGCAACAGUAAGUUAAUAAAGUGUGGUUUAAUAAAUAUCAGAUCUCUCUCGUCUAAAUCCUUUUUAAUAAAUGACUUGAUAAGUGACCAUCACAUAGAUCUGUUCUGUCUCACUGAAACCUGGCUGCAGCAGGAUGAAUAUGUUACUUUAAAUGAGUCGACUCCAAUGAGUCACAUCAACUAUCAUGUUCCAAGAAGUACAGGUAGAGGUGGAGGAGUAGCAGCAAUUUAUAAAUCAGAUUUAUUAAUUACUCCUAAACCUAAACAUAGUUAUAACUCAUUUGAGAGCCCCACUCUGAGCCUUUCUCACCCAGACUCUAAAACUCAGUGUCAGGUUCUGGCUCUGUGCUCAGUUUUAUUUUGAAAAGGACUUUGUUCAUUGACCAUAUCAUCCUGUUUUAUUUUGGUAGUCUCCUGGUUUCUGUUUCUGUUCUAGCUUCACUCCCGGUUUACGUUUUGUCACAGCUGUCCCUGCUUCACCUGGUCAUUAUCCACACCUGCACGUUAUCAGUAAUCAAGUCACUUUGUAUUUAACCACCACCUGUUUCCCUAGCUCUUUGCCACAUCGUUGUUUGUGUGUUCCCGUAUUAUUCCAGUUCGUUGUUCUAGUCCUGCCGUAUAUCGUGUACCCUGUUUCUGACCGUUGAUUCUGAGCCUGCCUAGUCCCUGUCUGCCUUCUCUGCCGUGAUUAUCUACCGCUGCCUGUUACCAACCUUGCCUGCCUGACCACGAUCCUGCGCUCGACGAUUCGAUCCGCUGGUGAGAGGCCUUACCCAGGCGAUUAGGAGGACAUGCUUGUGGAACCGGGAGAUCCCUUACCGCCUCCCUGACGUGGCACUCCACCGGCCAGGAAACCGCCCCCAGUAGGCACUUUGCCGGCUAAAUGGUCUCAGGUUCCGUGGAGUCUUCCGGUGUCUCGUGGAGUCAAGACAGCGCGUCGGGCUUGGUAUUUUUGGACCCUGGUCUAUAGGAAAGGUGUAAGUUAAACCGGCUGAAAAACAGAGCCCACCUGGCCUGGCGUGAAUUUAGUCGUCUGGCGGUCCUCAGGUACUCCAGGUUCUUGUGGUCCGUAUAUAUAUAAAUAUAUAAAUGGUUGUUCUGCUCCCUCCAACCAGUGCCUCCACUCCUCGAGCGCCACCUUGACGGCCAGCAGCUCCCGGUCCCCGAUACUAUAAUUCUUCUUCGCUGGAGACAGUUUCCUGGACAUAAAGGCACAAGGAUGGAGCCUACCUCCGGCUGGAUCUCUCUGGGAGAGAACUGCUCCUACACCCGUGUUGGAGGCGUCCACUUCCACGAUGAACUGUCUUCCUGGGUCCGGCAUGUUCAGAAUGGGGGCUGACGUGAAGCUCUCCUUCAGUUGCUGAAAAGCGGCUUCUGCGUCCGCCGUCCACUGAAAAGGAGAUCUAACAGAGGUUAAGGCAUGCAGUGGAGCCGCGAUGCUGCUGAAAUGCCGGAUGAACUUGCGGUAGAAGUUGGCGAAUCCCAGAAACCGCUGGACAUCCCUGCGGCACUGGGAAACCGGCCAUUCUUCCACCGCCCGCGUUUUGGCCAGGUCCAUCUGGAUCCGGCCCUGUGAUACUAUGAAGCCGAGAAAUGCCACGGUCUCCACGUGGAACUCACACUUCUCAGCCUUCACAAAUAGUCUGUGCUCGAGCAACCGUUUGAGCACCUGAUGUACAUGGGAGAUGUGCUCCUCCUUGGGGUAGGAGAAAAUGAGGAUAUCAUCCAGAUAAACAAAAAACAAAAUCAUUAAUCAUGGACCCGAGAAUGUCAUUAACAAAGGCCUGGAACAUGGCCGGCGUGUUGGUGAGACCGAAUGGCAUGACCAGGUACUCGAAGUGUCCGUUGGGCGUGUUAAAGGCCGUUUUCCACUCAUCGCCCUCGCGAUAUGCGCACCAGAUGGUACGCAUUGUGGAGGUCUAAUUUUGUGAAACACGUGGCACCGGAAAGCAGUUCGAAGGCUGAGGAUAGCAGCGGCAAGGGGUAAGAAUCCCGUACCGUGAUGUCAUUAAGCCCUCGAUAGUCGAUACACGGCCUUAGCGAUCCGUCCUUUUUUCCCACGAAGAAGAACCCCGCUCUUGCGGGUGAUGAUGAAGGCCGUAUGAUUCACGAAGCUAGUGCUGAGUUCAAAUACUUCCUCAUGGCCGUUCGUUCCUUUGGGGACAAGUGGAACAGCCUCCCCUUGGGUGGUGCCGUACCGGGCCUUAGGUUAAUUGCACAAUCGUGCUUCCUGUGUGGUGGUAGGGAUGUGGCUCUGACCUUACUGAAAACCGUUCGGAGGUCGUGGUAGCACUCUGGAACACCCUUGAGGUCAAUCUCCUCUCCUCCUUCCAUCCCCGUCGCCUCCUGUGGAUCCUCUGACUCGAGUGUGGAUUGGAAACAGGUGGUUCGACACCCCGUACCCCAUUCACACACCUCUCCGCUCCUCCAAUCCAGUGUGGGGUUGUGCCUCCUCAGCGAGGUGUGCCCUAAAACCACAGGGUGAUAGCAGGACUCCACCACUAAGAAUGUGAUUCUCUCAGAAUGACCAUCGGCAAACGUCAUGGGAACAGGUGCGGUGUGGUGCGUGACCUUCCACAGUCUGCGGCCGUCCAGUGCCUCCGUUUCCACUGGCGACGCUAGGGGGGCUGUAUGAAUGCCCAUGCGCUCCGCCAACCCAGCGUCCAUCAGACUGGCGUCAGCUCCGGAGUCGAUUAGCACAGCCUGCUGGAUAGAACGGGUACUGGAAGUUAAUGUCACGGUAGGUAGAGAUCUAGCGGCGGCUCCGCCAAGGAUAGUUCGGCUUAUCGCUAUUCGCCGCUCUAGUGAUGAGCCUGAUCUUUUACUGGACACCUUGCUGCGUAGUGUCCACCCUGUCCACAGUACAUACACAGUUGCUGCGUCUCACUAAGGAGGAGAGAUGCAGGCGACGUGCCCGAUCUGCAUGGGUUCUUCUGUAAUUUGGGUUUCACCCAUGCCUCGCUGACUCGCCUGACCACUCGUUCCCCUCGUCGACAUCCGUGGGCACUGAGCGGGAACGUAGUGUGGUUCCCUCGCUCUCUCUUUGCCGUGAUGUUCUCGCUCACUGUUCCCCAGCCGUCGGUCGAUUCGUAUGGCCAGCGCGAUCAGAUCAUCCAAAGUGCUAGGGAGCUUGCGAUUGGCCAGACAGUCCUUUACCCGGCGUGACAGUCCGCGGAUAAAAACGUCUCCAAGCACGGUGGCCUCCCAACCAGCCUCCGCUGCCAGCGUCCGGAACUCUAUGGCGUACUUGGCCGUCGUUCUCCUCCCCUGGCGGAUGUUCACCAGCCUUUGUGCAGCCUCUCUCCCCGGAAUGAUCUCCUGGAAGAUCUGUUUUAGUGCUUCCGAAAAGGAGGUGAAUGUGGCCACGCAGGAGGAACCGUUCUGCCACUCUGCUGUCGCCCACGCCUCCGCCUUGCCGGUCAGAUGGGAAAUGGCAUAGGCCACACGCGAUCUCUCCGUGGGGAAAGCAGCUCGAAGUGAAUCUCGCACUGAGUGAUGAAUGCUCGGCAGUCGCCGGACUCACCCGAGAAGCAUGUAGGUGCUCCCAAACGAGCGUCGGGAACCGGGAUGACAGCCACUGGAGCCGCAGCGAUCGCACUUGUCCCGGCAGCGGCUACGGGCACCUGGAUUGGUUCCUCUUGUCGCAGGGCGCAGUCCGCCAGCCUCUGCAGCGCCUCGUUGGUCCUCUCCUCCUGCUCGCUGAGCCGCUUUCCUUGAGCGAGGAGCGCAGCACGCAGGGUCUCUACGCUGGCUGGGUCCAUGUCUGGCCAGAUCGUUCUGUCAGGUUUUGGCAGAGAUCGGACCCACAUGCACAGCACGAGACGUCAGACAGAUGGUAGAAUUUUAAGGAUUUAAUACAGUUCUCUUUACAACAGUCGGUCCAGGUCAUACACAAUGAUUCUCAGGUUUCAGUACAGAGGGAGCAGGCUGAAUCAGGUCCAAGGGCAGGCAAGGGUUCGACAACAGGAUUGGCAAGGUUACAGUACCGGUAAGGAGCAGGCUAUCUCGAGGUCCGGCGGUCAGGUCGGUAUUACAAGUUCUUUUCCAGGCGACAGUACCAUUCAGGAACAGACAGGAAUCGGGAGUCAGGAACACGAAGCAGGAUCAAGAAGCAAACAGGCAGGAGGAUGAAACGCUGGAAAGUGAUGACUGGCAUACAACGAUCUGGCAACAGGCUAAGGGAACUGGUGGUGGUUAAGUAUGCAGGUGAGUGAUUACUGAUUCUAGGCAGGUGUGAGUAAUGAGAACCGGAAGUACAGUAAGACUGGAGCUAAUGAGAUGCGACUGGAAACCGGAACUGCUACGCUAAAACAGGAUGUGACUUCAAGAACAUGACACAUUGAUUCUUCCUCUCAGAGAAAUAGAGGUACUGUUUUGAGGUGCAACUAGAUUAGUCAAAGAAGUUCUACCUUUAAUCAGCUCGUCCAUAUUAAAUCAAAUCAACCAAUCUUUACAUUUAGGCUAUGUACCACAGGCUUUUAAGGUGGCUGUGGUCAAACCUCUAUUGAAAAAACCAACCCUGGACCCUGGAGGACUAGCCAACUAUAGGCCCAUUUCAAAUUUACCCUUUAUUUCCAAGAUUCUUGAAAAAAAUCGUAGCUAAACAAUUAUCUGACCACCUGAUUGGGAAUAACCUGUAUGAAGAUUUUCAUUCAGGAUUUAGAAAACAUCAUAGCACAGAAACAUCUCUAGUUAGAGUCACUAAUGAUCUUCUAUUAGCUUUGGACAAUGGUCUAGUUUCUGUCCUUGUCCUGUUAGAUCUUAGUGCUGCAUUUGAUACAAUUGAUCAUAACAUUCUAUUACAGACAAUAGAACAUAGAAUUGGGAUUAAAGGAACAGCUUUGGGAUGGUUUAAAUCCUAUUUGUAGAACAGAUUCUAGUUUGUUCAUGUUAAUGAGAAAUUCUCCACAUGCACAAGGAUUAGCUAUGGAGUACCACAGGGUUCUGUGCUUGGUCCAAUUCUGUUUAGCCUAUACAUGUCUCCUAUAGGUGAGAUUAUUAGAAAGCAUUCUAUUAAUUUUAAUAUGCCACCCUGGAUGGCAUAACAUUAGCUUCAGAUUCUACUGUGAGGUACCUUGGUGUCAUCUUUGACCAGGAUCUCUCUUUUAAAUCAUACAUUAAACAAUUCUCCAGAACCACCUACUUCCAUCUUAGAAAUAUAGCUAAAAUCAGAAGCAUCCUCUCUCAGAGUGAUGCAGAGAAACUGAUUUGUUACCUCUAGGCUGGACUACUGUAACUGCUUACUCAUAGGAUGUCCUAACAGCUCCUUAAAAAGCCUACAACUUAUUCAAAAUGCUGCAGCCAGAGUUCUGACAGGACUUAGAAAGAGAGAUCACAUUUCUCCUACAUUAGCUUCUCUGCACUGGCUGCCUGUAAAAUGUAGGAUAGAAUUUAAAAUUCUCCUACUCACAUACAAAGUACUCAAUGAUAAAGCUCCUUCUUAUCUUAAAGACCUCAUAGUUCCUUGUGCUCCCAGCAGAACGCUUUGUUCUCAGAGCGCUGGGCUACUUGUGGUUCCUGGAGUCUUAGAACGGGAGGCAGAGCUUUUAGCUACCAAGCUCCUCUCCUCUGGAACCAGCUCCCUCUUCAGGUUUGAGACACACUCUCCACCUUUAUGAUUAGGAUUAAAACCUUCCUUUUUGAUAAAGCUUAUAGUUAGAGAUGGUUCAGGUCACUGGCAAUGAUUGUUAGUCACAGGAACCAUCUCAUAGUUAAGCUGCAAUAGACAUAGACUGCUGGGGGACUUAAUUUAUACACUGAACUCUUCUGUUUCCUUCUACCUCUUCUGUCCAAUAAUCUCCCAUCAUUGUUCUAUGUUUAACUAACCUUGUCUCUUUCUCUCUAGUAGUUGUGCUCCCCCUCCCCCCUCUCUCUCUCUCCUCCACUCUGUCCUCACCUACAGGUAUUAUUGGACUCAGAGCCUUGUGUCUGUGAUGGGUAGCUGUGGGUCAAACCAUCCUGCCUGUAUCCAGUCCCUGGUCCAACCAUCCUGCCUGUGCUCUGUUGUUGCCUGUCUCUCUCUCUAUCCCCUCACCCCAACUGGUCGAGGCAGAUGGCCUCCUACAUCCAGCCUAGUUCUGCUGGAGGUUUCUUCCUCGUUAGAGAGGGAGUUUUUCCUCUCCACUGUUGCUGUCAAAUUAAAUGCUUGCUGUAUGUGGGAUUUGUUGGGUUUAGUUGUGUGAGGUCUUAAACCUUACUUUGUAAAGUGCCUUGAGAUAACUUUGUUGUUAUUUGGCGCUAUAUAAAUAAAAUUGAAUUGAAUUGAA
Long non-coding RNA from Betta splendens (Siamese fighting fish), 6419 nucleotides. RefSeq lists it as uncharacterized. The record is from RefSeq and is a predicted model, not a curated record. The transcript is spliced from 2 exons. NCBI's taxonomy places the organism in Eukaryota, Metazoa, Chordata, Actinopteri, Anabantiformes, Osphronemidae.